This 274-nucleotide ribosomal RNA is filed under the name uncultured bacterium. Its description in RNAcentral is "partial 16S ribosomal RNA". It matches the Rfam family "Bacterial small subunit ribosomal RNA", at positions 523 to 796 of the family's 1533-position model. The record is from RNAcentral.
AUACGGGGGGGGCAAGCGUUGUUCGGAAUUACUGGGCGUAAAGGGCGCGUAGGCGGACCAGACAGUCUCUCGUGAAAUCCCACGGCUCAACCGUGGAACUGCGGGAGAUACUACUGGUCUUGAGUUCGGGAGAGGAGUGUGGAAUUCCCAGUGUAGCGGUGAAAUGCGUAGAUAUCUGAGAGAACACCGGUGGCGAAGGCGGCUCUCUGGCCCGAUACUGACGCUGAGGCGCGAAAGCUAGGGGAGCGAACGGGAUUAGAAACCCCGGUAGUCC